RNAcentral lists this ribosomal RNA (566 nucleotides) under uncultured Bispora. RNAcentral's name for it is "SSU rRNA". It matches the Rfam family "Eukaryotic small subunit ribosomal RNA", at positions 4 to 570 of the family's 1831-position model. Lineage: Eukaryota; Fungi; Ascomycota. The record is from RNAcentral.
CUGGUUGAUCCUGCCAGUAGUCAUAUGCUUGUCUCAAAGAUUAAGCCAUGCAUGUCUAAGUAUAAGCAAUUUAUACAGUGAAACUGCGAAUGGCUCAUUAAAUCAGUUAUCGUUUAUUUCGAUAGUACCUUUACUACUUGGAUAACCGUGGUAAUUCUAGAGCUAAUACAUGCUAAAAAUCCCGACUGUUUGGAAGGGAUGUAUUUAUUAGAUAAAAAAUCAAUGCUCUUUGAGCUCUUUGAUGAUUCAUAAUAACUUUUCGAAUCGCAUGGCCUUGUGCUGGCGAUGGUUCAUUCAAAUUUCUGCCCUAUCAACUUUCGAUGGUAGGAUAGUGGCCUACCAUGGUUUCAACGGGUAACGGGGAAUAAGGGUUCGAUUCCGGAGAGGGAGCCUGAGAAACGGCUACCACAUCCAAGGAAGGCAGCAGGCGCGCAAAUUACCCAAUCCCGACACGGGGAGGUAGUGACAAUACAUAACGAUACAGGGCCCUUUCGGGUCUUGUAAUUGGAAUGAGUACAAUGUAAAUACCUUAACGAGGAACAAUUGGAGGGCAAGUCUGGUGCCAG